Molecule: ribosomal RNA, 424 nt
Filed under: uncultured eukaryote
Lineage: Eukaryota
Description: bacterial SSU rRNA
Rfam family: Eukaryotic small subunit ribosomal RNA
Source: RNAcentral
CAAUAGCGUAUAUUAAAGUUGUUGCAGUUAAAAAGCUCGUAGUUGGAUUUCUGGCAGGAGCGACCGGUCGGCCCAUUGUGGUGUGUACUAGUGUUGCAUCUGGCCAUAUUUGUGGAGAGCGUGUGUGGCAUUAAUUUGUCGUGCUCGGGACCCGCAUCGUUUACUGUGAGAAAAUUAGAGUGUUCAAAGCAGGCUUAUGCCUUGGAUAUGUUAGCAUGGAAUAAUAAGAUAGGACUUCGGAACUAUUUUGUUGGUUUGCGUUACGAAGUAAUGAUUAAUAGGGACAGUUGGGGGUAUUCGUAUUUCGUUGUCAGAGGUGAAAUUCUCCGAUUUGUUAAAGACUAACUUAUGCGAAAGCAUUUGCCAAGGAUGUUUUCAUUAAUCAAGAACGAAAGUUAGGGGAUCAAAGACGAUUAGAUACCGU